Non-coding RNA from Brachypodium distachyon (stiff brome), 105 nucleotides. The record is from Rfam. NCBI's taxonomy places the organism in Eukaryota, Viridiplantae, Streptophyta, Magnoliopsida, Poales, Poaceae.
ACGGCACGUCUCUUCCGUUUCUGAUACAAUUGUCAAUUUACCAGAGAAGAUUAGCAUGGUCCUUGUACAAGAAAGACAACCUCUAAAGUCUCUUACAAAGUUGGU